Molecule: long non-coding RNA, 521 nt
Filed under: Danio rerio (zebrafish)
Lineage: Eukaryota; Metazoa; Chordata; Actinopteri; Cypriniformes; Danionidae
Description: lncRNA (ENSDARG00000117375.1)
Source: RNAcentral
AUGACUAUUAGCCAUUGUUCUCGUCAUAUCUUUUUAUUUAUUUACAUAGGAACCGGUGUUGCAGCGGGUUUUGGUUUAGGAGGGAACCAGAGGUAUGCAGACAGUUUUGGAGGACACUUAGCACGAGACAACGGUCCGGCAGAGAGUGUUUUCCCCCAGAAGAAUAUGAAUGAAAGACCAACAAAUAAUCCAGAUAUGGCACUGGCACAGCAGCAGGUUUUGUCUGAAGAAACAAACAGCAUUUCAGAGGAACAUCUUGAUCAGCACAGCCUUAUGCUUAAAAAAUAAGCAAGACCAGUAAGCAACCAAGGUAAACAAAUAAAAAAAGUUGUGUGGAGGUUGUGGAUUGUAGCAUGGUAUUCUUACCUGUAUUUUUGGCUUUUUUAUGGUCUCAAUAUAGAAUACUGGGAGCCUGCCUGUGCAAACUGGACCUCAUACAACAGUAAGUACUGUACAUCUAUUUGUUUCUCAAUAUAUUAACGUUACUUUAAUACAAAAUGUGUCACAUGUUUAGUUGCUAG